AGUGAACGCUGGCGGUAGGCCUAACACAUGCAAGUCGAACGGCAGCACAGUAAGAGCUUGCUCUUACGGGUGGCGAGUGGCGGACGGGUGAGGAAUACAUCGGAAUCUACUUUUUCGUGGGGGAUAACGUAGGGAAACUUACGCUAAUACCGCAUACGACCUACGGGUGAAGGCAGGGAUCUUCGGACCUUGCGCGAUUGAAUGAGCCGAUGUCGGAUUAGCUAGUUGGCGGGGUAAAGGCCCACCAAGGCGACGAUCCGUAGCUGGUCUGAGAGGAUGAUCAGCCACACCGGAACUGAGACACGGUCCAGACUCCUACGGGAGGCAGCAGUGGGGAAUAUUGGACAAUGGGCGCAAGCCUGAUCCAGCCAUACCGCGUGGGUGAAGAAGGCCUUCGGGUUGUAAAGCCCUUUUGUUGGGAAAGAAAAGCAGCAGGUUAAUACCCCGCUGUUCUGACGGUACCCAAAGAAUAAGCACCGGCUAACUUCGUG
Molecule: ribosomal RNA, 491 nt
Filed under: uncultured bacterium
Lineage: Bacteria
Description: partial 16S ribosomal RNA
Rfam family: Bacterial small subunit ribosomal RNA
Source: RNAcentral